GGAAACCUGGCUCCAGAGUGGGUGUUUGCGAUGGAGUGUGAACAGAGUCUGGUUCUGAAUGCAGACCUGACUGUCCACACUGGAAAAGGACAUCACAAGGGUGACCCAAGUUUGCUCAGCUAUAAAAUGGGGAUAAUGACCUUUGUGAAAUGCUGUCAGACCUGUGGAUGAAAAGUGCCCUAUAAGAGCUGCAUUUUGUUCCUGAAUCAGACUCGGGAUUCAGACCAGCCUUCAGGUAGCCACAGCAUGCAUCACCUUGUGUUCAAGGAUGUCAAAGUUCUUUGCAAACAAGGAAGAAAUAAGCCUGCCAGCCCUUCCUCCCCACUGCCCAGGCUAGCUCAGAGAUAUUAUGCCAUGUUACAGAAGAGGGAAACUGAGGCACGUCACUGAGUGGAGGUGACUUGUCCACGGUCCUCCAAAGCCUGGAACAGAUCCAAGAUCUCCUUGUGACGGUGUACCCCAUAAGGCUUUAUGGAAAAGGCUUAUGACUGCAGCUUAUGAAUGUAUAUAUGACAUAACUAGAAUAUGCUUUCUGCUAUAUAUGCCAUGUAAUAUAUCUAUGUAUAGGUUAUGCUCUACUGAAUACAUUCCUCCUAUUUGUAUGCAUGUAUCAUUUUUGUACUUGAAGUUAGGAAUAUUGUCUGUCUGUCUACUUGCUUGAUAGCCUUAGUAAAGCAUUUGGCCAGCAGAUUAAGUGUCCAAUCAAGAACCACUUAAGCCAACAAUGAACUUGGAGAUGCCAGUCUACAUUGGAGAUUUCCCAGGAAUGUGGCUUGGCUGGUAAGAAACUCAGUCAUGUAUGGACAUGUGACUUGCCCAUGUGACUCCAAAACUCCAUCUUGGAGCUGGAUUUUGUAUAGGAGAUAGGAGGCUCCACCCACAAGAGAAAGUCUACUUAAACCCCUGGGAGACCCCCCCCCCCGCCAUUUGGUCUUCAGCUGGCUGAAGGGACAGCCUCUCCACCCCAAGGAUGCCUGAAAGAAACUGGAACAAAGGACAGUAACUACAGGGGGUGUGAGAGUGAUUGCUGGACCCAGACUAGAAGGAGACUAGUCUGUAAAAGGAAGCUUACUGGAACUGGUGAGGUUUUUAUCUGUACUCAGUUGUCUUACUGUAUUAGACUCAGACUUGCGUGUUUUAUUUUAUUUUAAUUAAUAAUUCACUUUGUUCUGUCUGUUACUAUUUGGAACCACAUGAAUCCUACUUUCUGUA
Long non-coding RNA from Malaclemys terrapin pileata, 1212 nucleotides. RefSeq lists it as uncharacterized. NCBI's taxonomy places the organism in Eukaryota, Metazoa, Chordata, Testudines, Emydidae. The transcript is spliced from 3 exons. The record is from RefSeq and is a predicted model, not a curated record.